Molecule: transfer RNA, 73 nt
Filed under: Ailuropoda melanoleuca (giant panda)
Lineage: Eukaryota; Metazoa; Chordata; Mammalia; Carnivora; Ursidae
Rfam family: tRNA
About the family: Transfer RNA (tRNA) molecules are approximately 80 nucleotides in length. Their secondary structure includes four short double-helical elements and three loops (D, anti-codon, and T loops).
Source: Rfam by way of RNAcentral
GCCUGGUUGGCUCAGUCGGUAGAGCAUCUGACUCUUGAUCUCAGGGUCAUGAGUUCAAGCCCCACGUUGGGCA